UUCCAGCUCCAAUAGCGUAUGUUAAAGUUGUUGCGGCUAAAAAGCUCGUAGUUGGAUUUCUGUUGAGGACAUCUGGUCCGCUCUACGAGCGUGUAUCUAGUUUGGCCUCGGCAUCCGCUCUGCAUACGUUUCUGCGCUUGAUUGCGUGGAGCGGAGGUAGGGCCUUUUACUUUGAGGAAAUUAGAGUGUUCACGGCAGGCAGUCGCCCUGAAUAUAUUAGCAUGGAAUAAUAACAUAGGAUCUUGGUUCUAUUUUGUUGGUUUCUAGGACUAAGAUAAUGAUUAAUAGGGACAAUUGGGGGCAUUCGUAUUGCGGUGUCAGAGGUGGAAUUCUUAGAUUACUGCACGACGAACUACUGCGAAAGCAUUUGCCAAGGAUGUUUUCAUCA
This 388-nucleotide ribosomal RNA is filed under the name Syndiniales sp. RNAcentral describes it as "partial small subunit ribosomal RNA". It matches the Rfam family "Eukaryotic small subunit ribosomal RNA", at positions 583 to 975 of the family's 1831-position model. The record is from RNAcentral. Lineage: Eukaryota; Dinophyceae; Syndiniales.